GCUCUGUGAUCCCAGACGAAUGUCCUGUGU
RNAcentral lists this non-coding RNA (30 nucleotides) under Mus musculus (house mouse). The record is from RNAcentral. Lineage: Eukaryota; Metazoa; Chordata; Mammalia; Rodentia; Muridae.